Aphis gossypii (cotton aphid) is the source of this 390-nucleotide long non-coding RNA. RefSeq lists it as uncharacterized. Lineage: Eukaryota; Metazoa; Arthropoda; Insecta; Hemiptera; Aphididae. The record is from RefSeq and is a predicted model, not a curated record. The transcript is spliced from 3 exons.
AAUAGCUUAAUACUUAUUCAGAAUCUAAUCAUUUUAGGUAUAUUUUUUGAAAAGAAAACUAAUCCUCGCACUUUGUAGUUCUCUGAAUAAUAACUAUGACUUCAUUUAAAGUUUCAAUAAUAUUAACUGUGAUAUUUUUUAUCAGCAAUUGUGUCAAAGGAGACUACUCAGGAGAAAUAAAUGGUGAGAGACUUAAAUUCACUUUAUAUUAGUAAAUUAUAUAAAUAAUACAUUUAUGAUUAAUUUAAAAAAAAUAGCAUAACUAUUACUUAAAAUAUACAUGUAGGUACUGAAUAGUACAUUAUUAUAGUACCUAAUCAAUGAUUGUUAAAUAUUUAAAUAUUAAAUCUCAAAUAAUUUAUUUUUAUAUUUUUUUAGAAUGCAAUGGUA